UGCAUCUGAAGUCUGACGAGGAUGAGAACCUCCGGGGGCAAGAGGUUCGACUCGAGCGAAGCGAGAGAACGUUGCGUCAGCAACGGCCCGCAGGGCGAGCCACGCA
This 106-nucleotide small RNA is filed under the name Salmonella enterica subsp. enterica serovar Infantis. RNAcentral's name for it is "partial RtT sRNA". It matches the Rfam family "RtT RNA", at positions 1 to 102 of the family's 130-position model. Rfam says of the family: This family represents a bacterial cis-regulatory element known as RtT RNA. The exact function of RtT is unknown although it is thought that it may be involved in changing the cellular response in relation to amino acid starvation. RNAcentral also lists the same sequence under 1 other name. Lineage: Bacteria; Pseudomonadati; Pseudomonadota; Gammaproteobacteria; Enterobacterales; Enterobacteriaceae. The record is from RNAcentral.